Molecule: transfer RNA, 73 nt
Filed under: Trichonephila inaurata madagascariensis
Lineage: Eukaryota; Metazoa; Arthropoda; Arachnida; Araneae; Nephilidae
Rfam family: tRNA
About the family: Transfer RNA (tRNA) molecules are approximately 80 nucleotides in length.
Source: Rfam by way of RNAcentral
GUCCCUGUAGCGCAAUGGAUAGCGCGUUGGGCAUCUAAUCCAAAGGUCGUGGGUUCAAAUCCCACCUGGGAUG